Molecule: ribosomal RNA, 508 nt
Filed under: uncultured bacterium
Lineage: Bacteria
Description: partial 16S ribosomal RNA
Rfam family: Bacterial small subunit ribosomal RNA
Source: RNAcentral
GACGAACGCUGGCGGCGUGCCUAAUACAUGCAAGUCGAACGCUUCUUUCCUCCCGAGUGCUUGCGCUCAAUUGGAAAGAGGAGUGGCGGACGGGUGAGUAACACGUGGGUAACCUACCCAUCAGAGGGGGAUAACACUUGGAAACAGGUGCUAAUACCGCAUAACAGUUUAUGCCGCAUGGCAUAAGAGUGAAAGGCGCUUUCGGGUGUCGUUGAUGGAUGGACCCGCGGUGCAUUAGCUAGUUGGUGAGGUAACGGCUCACCAAGGCCACGAUGCAUAGCCGAACUGAGAGGGUGAUCGGCCACACUGGGACUGAGACACGGCCCAGACUCCUACGGGAGGCAGCAGUAGGGAAUCUUCGGCAAUGGACGAAAGUCUGACCGAGCAACGCCGCGUGAGUGAAGAAGGUGUUCGGAUCGUAAAACUCUGUUGUUAGAGAAGAACAAGGACGUUAGUAACUGAACGUCCCCUGACGGUAUCUAACCAGAAAGCCACGGCUAACUACGUG